GUAUUUCGCCUACGUAGGUGACCUGCGGAGGAUCAUUA
Molecule: ribosomal RNA, 38 nt
Filed under: uncultured ectomycorrhiza (Lactarius pseudomucidus)
Lineage: Eukaryota; Fungi; Basidiomycota; Agaricomycetes; Russulales; Russulaceae
Description: partial 18S ribosomal RNA
Source: RNAcentral